RNAcentral lists this non-coding RNA (45 nucleotides) under Schistosoma curassoni. The record is from RNAcentral. Lineage: Eukaryota; Metazoa; Platyhelminthes; Trematoda; Strigeidida; Schistosomatidae.
AUCCAGCUGACGAAUCCCUAAUAGGGCGGGACGCGCGUCCUGGAU